UUUAACUUCACGGAAAGGACCCGGGGCUCUGUGGCUUCCCAUCCGUCUUGUGACCCGGAAUCAUGGUGAUCUAAAAGAGCCCUGUGACUCUGGGAAAUUUGUUAUCAAAGGAUGUUAGCCACAAGUCCUGUUGGCAAAUGGACCCCAGGUGGCCUGCAGUGCCAAGCUGUUUCCCUGCCAGCCUCCCAGUCUGGCCCUGACUCUCCAAUGUGUCACAGAAUAAAGAAAAAGACUGGGAGAGAGAUGGGAGCUGAUAGACCAGAGGAGACCAAAGACUGAAACUGAAGACUAAACCAUGGAAAUUGGGAACAAGCACUUACUCGCUUAGAGGGUGAAAAAAGUGAAUUUGCCUACAGGGCCAAUUUGGAAGCACCUCUCCCUGGAAGCCAGUCAAUGAAGAGCCAUUGGAGGAUUUUAAAUAAGGAACCGAAAAAUGGAGUCUGAAAAUAGAGGCGCAGAGACCGGUUCUUCCCCAAACCAUCAUGGACCAGUUGGACUCUGAGAAGAAAAGUUUCUGAUCUUUAGUUCAUUCUUCCAACUCUCUAGAAAGCAGGAAAACUGAGAAUGAAAAAUUCUAAAUUACUCAGGACUCAUGGGUUGCCAAUAGAAGAAAUACAUCUUAAACUAGCUUAAGCCUGAAAGGGAAAUGUAUUUGUUCAUGUAACUGAACCAUAACGAAGGAUGGUGGACUGAGGGACCUGAAAACACCCUCAGGACUCCCUCCCUCUCCUUUGUGCUCCUGUCUGAUGCCGUCUUCCCAGACCUGCUCACUCUCCAUAAGGUGGGGAUGUGGCCAUCAGCAACGUGUACUUCCCCGAAGCUUGUGACCUGAGUAGAUAGGCAUCUCCCAACCCACAAGGAUUGAAAAGUUCCUCUAGGAAUUAUGUGGAUUGGCCCAUUCACUAUGACAUGUUCCCCCUAAGCAGCUAAAGGAACUGGGUCUGUUACCAGAAGAGGUGGGAGAGGGGUGCUAGGCAGAUUGAACAACAGCCACUACAACAUCUGAGGAGGAGACCUCCGUGAAGGCCACCAAGUCUGCUAGCAGAUAUUUCCUCCCUCGGAUCUCUCUCCCUGUCCUCACAGUCUCAUAAGUGAGGAUUAAAUACUACAUGUGGCCUAGGAGAUCUUAGACCCUCCACACGAAGAUAUAGUAACAAUCAACAUCCUAGUGUUCUGGCAGAGAAAAAAUCAGAAAGAAUCGUUUGCCUGAUUUUUCCAUCAAUACCAAUAAUUAAUUAGAGAUGAAAUUUGUGAUGGACUCAGAGAAUUAGAGAAGAUCUAAGGGAAUCUAGAUGAUUUCCUACCCCUAACCAGAGCCUCACAAAAAAGGGUGAAGAUCUAUGGCCGUCUUGCGUUUGGUGUGAGGCUGGACAAGGAAGUUCCUAAGGUCCUUUAGACUCUGUGAGAUCAUGAGUCCGUAAAACCCUUCCAACUUGAAAUUAGUUGAUUCCUUCCUUAAAUUUUCUGGGACAUUCCCCCACUCCCUCCACUCUUAUUAGCUGAUUUUACUGACCAAUAGGCCUUGAAGUUGGGCGUUCCAUCUAGAUGUCUCACAUCAACUCACCUUUUGCAAAUUAAGCCCAUACCCUUAAAGAGGGGAAUUCUCAAGCCAUUAGAAACUAGAGAGUCAGCUGGGCAUGGUGGCUCACGCCUGUAAUCCCAGAACUUUGGGAGGCCAAGGUGGGUGGAUCACUUGAGGUCAGGAGUUCGAGUCCAGCCUGACCAACAUGGCGAAACCCCGUCUCUACUAAAAAUACAAAAAUUAGCCAGGGGUGAUGGCAUGCACCUGUAAUCCCAGCUACUCAGGAGGCUGAGGCAGGAGAAUUGCUUGAACCUGGGAGGCGGAGGUUGCAGUGAGCCAAGUUUGCACCACAGCACUCCAGCCUGGGCAACAGAGUGAGACUCAGUUUCAAAAAACAAAAGAACAAACAAACAAAAACUAGAGGGUCUCCUCUUAGUUCUUAAACCCUCUUAGUCAACAUUUGUGAGCCUCUUUUCUGUAUGUUUUGGCAUCUUUAUUCCUUUCCUUCGUGUCUUGACCAAAUUCACCAGAUCAUGACUCAGAACAAAAUCCUGAGGUUGAAUAUAGAGGUCUAGAACAUCUUCAAAUUAACUGUUUCUCCUCAUAGAGAAUUAAAGAAAUUGAGAAAGCAAGAG
RNAcentral lists this long non-coding RNA (2157 nucleotides) under Homo sapiens (human). RNAcentral describes it as "HSALNT0200842". The record is from RNAcentral. Lineage: Eukaryota; Metazoa; Chordata; Mammalia; Primates; Hominidae.